UCUGAGGCGGAACAAUUUCAUGCUGAAACCACCCCUCCCACUCACACCCCACUCUCCCAUCCAGGCAAUGUAUCUUCAUGACUGUCAAUGACUCUACGAUGGUGUCACUGGGAGCCUGGCCUGUAUCCGUGGGAAGUCCUCCUGACUGCAAGGAGCACCCAAGUGGGUAGAGGGCCAGGCUGGGUGGGCAUCCUCCUUUCCUUCUGAAGAACUAUGAGCAUCAGUGAGGACCAGAAGCAGAGCUUGAGCCACACCACCUCCAGGAAGCCCUCUUAGCUAUGCAAGGAGAGAAUCUCUCCAGACCCUUGGAUUUCAGCUGCUUCUGGUAUCCAUGGGAGCACCUGACAGCUGAGAACAUACAUCUGGGAAAUCAAAGCUGCUGAAAGAAAGCCUAACAAAACCAAGUACUGAGAUAUUUCACAAGAUUGAGGCAUUGGUUUAUUUACUAUUAUUAUUAUGCUAUUGUGUUGCUAUUAUUACGUAUGUUUCUACCCCACUUUGCUUCACAAAAGGCUUAUAAUGGGAAAGACUCAUUGAAUAGUGUUCUAUAGAAGAGGUUUAAUCUCAAAGUUCAGGUUAUUUGGUAUUUGCUGGGUGACACCAUUUCAAAACUAUCAAGGUUUAAUGUGAAAUUAAUUUAAGAUUUCAAUUAUCUGGUUUUCUUUUUAAACCUUGUAUUAAAAUAAAGUAUCAAUCAGAGUUACAGAUUUGAGUGUGCAUGUGUGUGCGUGUAUGCAUGUUUAAUUUCCAUUCCACAUUGUUCCAUAAAGGAUGUGAGGCCACAAGUACUAUAAUGUUGCAAGUUAGUGAGAAUGCCUAAACUACUAGUAAAGGCUUAUCUUUCAGUAGGGAUUCACCAGUUGUUGUCUGCCAUUUUUUCCGUUGAUGAAUAGAAUUUUGAUAAUAUGCCGUUUUAAUGUAAUUUCAACUUUUAUUUUAGAUCCAGGGGGUACACGUGCAGGUUUGUUAGCUGGGUAUAUUGCAUGAUGCUGGUGUUUGGGGUAUGACUGAUCCCAUCACCCAGGUAACUGAGCAUAAUGCCCAACAGUUUUUCAACCCUUGCUCCCCUCCCUCCUCAUUCUAGUAGUCUCCAUUUUCUAUUGCUGCCAUCUUUAGUCUAUGAAUACCCAAUACUUAGCUCCCACUUGUAAGUGAGAACGUGCAGUAUUUGGCUUUCUGCUCCUGCGUUGAUAACACAUUUGAAAUAUGCUUCUUCACCCUUAGAUGUUUCACUACUGGAGUUUUAUUGCCUUUCAGCAGCAACAGAGGAGAGUGGAGAUACAGACUUAGACAGAGGAGCAGACUCACUUCUGUGGUUCUUGCCUCAAAUUUUCUUUUGAAGGUUCUGAAAGCUCUGAAUAGUUAUCUGAUUUAUUCUAGGUACACUUGGGCCAGUGAAAUUCUAGGCUUUAAAACAGAAAGUUUUGGAAAGAGCUCAAUGAAGCUUUAUUUCUUGUAUAAUAAAUCCAUCUCAGCAAAGGGAGCUGGCCCUUACAUGGAACCCAGCAUAUACUGAGGCAAGCAAGAUUCACGAUCCUGAAGACAGAGCAGGAAAUCAGCUCAUUAAGCCUGUUAUCUUGCUUCUGACUCUGUCUUGCUCUCUGCAGUCUUCACUGUCUCAAGUGCUAUAUUGUGUGUGUGGUAUUUCAUUUUAAAAUUCUUCCAUUUGCUGCUGAUUGGUUGGUUUAAUAGAAAAAUAAAUAAAUAAAAUGUUUCAGUUGAGACAUUGUGAUGUAGUUGUAUAUACAAGUUAACUCUAAUCUAUUCUCCAAGAGGGGAGGCUAGAAUUUAAAAUACCGUGUUUGGGGGAUCCAGCAGUUAACUAUUGCUGGAGUUGGUUAACUUGGAUGAAGUAUCCUAGCCAGAGUCAACAUCUUCUAAGAUGGUCCACUUAGCAUUUAAAUAUAGUUAACUACAUCUAUGCCAGGAGGCUUACUAACAUAACAGAUAUUUAAAAGAGUUUCUAAUUGGUGAGGUGAGUAGAAAUCAAACCAGAUGAUUGGUUAGGGAUGUUACAGAGGAAACUCUGCCCUUACCUGAAUGAAGCAUAAGCAUUGGCAAGCCCAGCUUUCUGAAUACAAAUGGUGCAAGCUUGCAGUCUAGACCCCCAAGUUGGUUCUAUGUCCUCCACUUCACAGAGAACCCUGUACCUGACCCUGUACAAAGCUGGACACACCUGCCAUCAGAAUAUGCUUGCCCUAAAUUCAACUAAGCCUUUUAUGGGGAAUGCUGAACAGAAGACUCAAAGGUAAAAGAGGGCCCAAGGAUAAAGACUGGGACUUUCCUAGCUACAUGCCAUGUUUACGACUGUUUUUGAGACUCUUUGUGAAUAAAUGUCUAGGUAUUGUCAGAAUAUUUUCUGAAACCUCUUUUCAUUAUAAUAUGACUCCUGGUAGCCAGGUUGUGAAGGAAGGAAUAUAUUGAUUCCCCCAACGCUCCCUCGCUUCUGAUGGUUGGAGGCUAUUAAUAUUUACCAGAAAAAGUGUUAUAUUUGCCAACGUGAUUGUCUUGGGUAGAUUGCCGUGCCAUGCAAAUUUCAAAUUCAUGUUUUAAAAUGUAGAAAAAGAGUUACUUGCAAAUAUAGAGAAUUAAGCUAAAGAUGGUUAGCUUAAGGUUGUGGGGUUUUUUCUUUGAAUUUUGGGACUCCGAUUGCAUUCUGUAAAUGUUCCUCAAUGAAGGAACUGUUGGUGGGCCUUAUACUUGUCCCUGAACACCCUUUAACUGUGACUUCUAGGAUAAUUUCUGAACCCUUUUAAAUUCUGGGAACCUGAGAGUUGCCUGCCUAAGCAGUAGUUGUGCUCCUUCUGUGGCAUCUUCUUGUGAAACAUUGGAUUCUAAACUGGUUGCAGUGGAAACCCAGAGCCACUGAGGGAAGAGUGGAAGCCAGAUAGAGCGUCUCCUCCUUCUGUGCUGGCUGGGACAGGCAAUCUCUGCCCAGGGGUCAGGGAGAGGAACCCGGAUUUAUACCCGCAGGAUUUUGUUUGAGAUUUCAUGCCUAUCAAGUUCAUCCUCAAAGAACCCAAUGCCAUUCUGAUUUAUUAUUAUUAUUUGAAUGAGAGUCAACCACUGACUAAUUGUGUCUGGGAUAUGUCAGGCCGAAGCCUGCCUUAGGGCAAGAGGUUGGACAAGAUAAUUGGGACUGUGAGGAGGAAUUGAGAGACUUCCUGUGGAAGCAUUAGAGUAGAAGAAGGCAACACAAAAAUCUGGCAUCAAUAAUGGUCUUUCUUUUAUUCUCCUCUCAGGACAGUUUGGAAAGUUGGGAUCCUUGAAGAACCCCGUGGCCUAGCAGAUGAGCACCCUGCCUGUGGCUGCAGGGCAAUGCCACAGAGAAUCCCUAGGGGGCAGCGCUCAGGCACAGGUCUCAGUGAGAUUCUCAGAGGCAGAGCUGUGCAGGCAUCCAGGGAACACCAUCUCCUGUUUCUCACAUAAAGAUUACUGCACAGGCAAAGAUAAGGAACAUUUUCCUAAUAGUAAGAAGAUUUUGAAUCCAAGAAAGCAACAAACCAGAGCAGACUCAUUUGAAACAUGAACAGAGUGAUGUGGUCAAAGGAAUCCAAGACAAGUUUCACCAGGUUCCUAUUGUGAACACACUGGAUGUUUAUAUAAGAAUCUUAGUGUGCAGCAAUCAUAACUAGAUAAUAAUUAUGCUUGAGAUUUGGUCCUCAUUCCAUAUGUGGAUUCAGUCGUUUUCUGUCAUUUUGUCAUUUUCAUGGAAUCUGGUUUUACAGAACCAUCCAAUGUUUAUUACAGAGAAUGACCAUCCAUAAGCCUCUCCAUGCUUAUGGAAGUGACAGUUAUGGGGCCGCUGGCUAAAUAUGCCUUCCAGGUGUUUAUUUCUGGGUCUACAUCGUGCCCCUCACUCAUUAAUUUAACUCUAUCCAGAGAAUUCCUCUAUGGUCUUCAUCUGACUGGAAAGUAAAUCAUCAGUCACUUCAAAUAUUUCAAGCUUGGUUUUCUCUGACAUAAGUCAGUUCUCCUGAUUACAGUUCCUGGAAAAUAUUGUAGAGCCCUGCAGCAUUGCAGUAUUUCAACCUUCAUUUGAAUUGCCUGUGACCCAGAUGUGAGCUCGUGCUUCCAUAGUCUCAGAUGUCUGGGUGAAUCCACCAGUUCCACACCUGUGAACAUCCCUGUCCUUGAUUCUUGCUAAUUGUCAGGAAACUUGCACUCAUAAUCCCUCCUGCCUCUGGCUCCUGGGUCCAUAUGUACUGGCUCUGUAUCAGUCUCUCUCAACCCAUGUGUAAUACUCAGCCCUUUGUCAUUUUAUACAAGACAAUUCACUCUAAGCGUUUCAUGAGUAAUACCUUGUACAAGUAAUACCUUGGGAUGCAGAGUGAGAGUGUGUGGGUGGGUCAUGUUAUAUAGUUCAAGGCUUCCCAAGGUCCUCUAGGCUCUCUGUCCUCUCCCUCUUCCUUCCUUAUUUUCCCUGGGAGCUCCAUGACCUUCUCCCUCUAUCAGACAAAUUAGCCCAGUUCCCCUUAGCUCCUACCACUAAGUUGUCCAUCAAGGCCCUCAGCGGAACAAAGUGUGCUCUGUUUGACAAAAUCUAUGUUCCUUAGAAGAUAGUUAGACUAUAAAUAACAACAAAAGUUCAGGUGCACAUAUGUUUUAGUUGAUGAAAUCAAAUAUAAAUCUCUGCCUCCACUGAAAGAUAGCACAAUAUUGUGAGGAGGAACUGAAUUAGGAAUCAGCCUAUUCGUGUUUGAGGCCCAGCAGCAUCCUUCACUAGACAGGUGAAAAAGCCAGCAAUUCAUUUUCAGUCUCAGUUCAUCAUCUGAAGAGUGAAAAUGUUACAAAUAUUUUGAAUCAUUAUGCUGAUUAAAGGAAAUAACUUAUUCACAUGCACUCUGAAACAUUAGAGCAGCAUUUCUCAGGACUUUCUUAGUUUUAUGAUGACUGAGGGUGCUGCUGGCACCUUGGAGGAAGCGCCGGGGAUGCCAGGUGUCUGCCAAUGUGGAAAAAUUUUGUAUAACACAGCACUGCCAAAUUAUCAAUAAUAUACCCAUUGAGAAAUGCUACGUUUGAACACAGUAUAAACGAAAGGUACAUUACCUCUGACCUUCCGUCUUUUACACAAAAUGCUGAUGAGAUUUCUGCGUGGUGUAGAUAAUUCUUUUAAACAAUUUUCCUCAUUCUGGAUUAUUUUAGCCCAAUCUUUGUUCCAAGGUGAUAGUAUGUCUGUCUUCCAAUGAUGCUGCCAACAUUUUAAUUACAAUCUUGAGCUUUCUUCUCUACAGAGUGCUUCCAUUUACGGUAUCUUUGAUCUCUCAGUUGAAACUACAUUUUACCCUCCAGAAAACAAAAAGAAGAAAGACAAAUUAUGGGAUAAAGGCUGAAAAAAUUUUCCUCAUGGUGAAGGCAAGCAGUAUGAGGAAGCAGGCAAAUUUUGAAAACAGAUAACCCCCUUGAUUUAUUUGUUGGUAUAUGCAUGCUGAUUCUAGUUGCAGAAGGCAUAUAUGUUGGAAAAAGUUAUCCAUUUACGAUUUUUAAGAAAUGAUCUCCACUGGGCCUGAGUUCAACUCCAUACUAAAGAACCAUCAGAGUGAACAGGCAACCUACAGAAUGGGAGAAAAUUUUUGCAAUCUACUCAUCUGACAAAGGGCUAAUAGCCAGAAUCUACAAAGAACUCAAACAAAUUUACAAGAAAAAAACAAACAAC
Piliocolobus tephrosceles (Ugandan red Colobus) is the source of this 5656-nucleotide long non-coding RNA. RefSeq lists it as uncharacterized. The transcript has 3 exons. NCBI's taxonomy places the organism in Eukaryota, Metazoa, Chordata, Mammalia, Primates, Cercopithecidae. The record is from RefSeq and is a predicted model, not a curated record.